CACUUAACACAGAGAAAUUGGGACAAAGAUAGAUAAGCAUUAAGAGAAGACAAUUAUUAUAUAGCACCACAGCUUAAACAAUAAAAAUUACACAUUCAUAAUUUCACAUACGGUAAAAUUCUGCUAAUAAACCAUGGGUUCAUACAACUUCAUAAGGAGUUUUUCUGGAAGGUUCCAGAUAAUUUUUUGAUGCAGGGUGUCAAUAAGCAAUUCCAACGGGUCAAUUCCCACUGUUCCCAUCAAAUCAUUAUAAAUUUUCUUUUAAUUUGUCAGGUCAUGUAGCUGACCUUGUCAGGUUUUUAACCUGAGACCCCUCACUUAUCUGGGACACUGUUUGGGUGGACUUAUAAUCAGAGCAGCUGUCAUCCAGGGGGGCUUAUAAGUGGUGUAAAAGGGUGUAUUGAAAUAAGCUAAUGAAACCAACAUUGAGUACGAUAAAAAGAUGUUUUAUGCUCUUGGGAACAAGAAACACAAGGCAAAUUAAGCAAGAAAACAAGUACACAGGGCACAAAGAUCAUUGUAUGAAUAAGUUUCAUCAUAAUGGUAAAUAACUGCUGAGAAGGUACACAAAGUAAAGGAGGGCUUAUUUCCAGAACAACUGUUUUUUGGAUACAUAAAGAGGGGUCUAUAACUGGAGUGGGGUGGGGUGGGGGGAGGGCUUAUAAACAGGAAGUUAUAGUUAGAAUUUUACAAUAUCUGCAAUAAUUUGUAAAUAAGCCAUAUGAAUCAGUUGCUUGUAAUACACCUGUCACAUUGUCAUAGAAAUCACCCUGUAAAAAAGCAUGUGGUGAAUGCUGCACUUCUGUAACUCUGCAGCAAAUUUAGAACUAAUAUGAUUUGUUCUGAUAAGCAGAACUGAUCAUGUGAACUUUUGAUGAUCAAAUAAAUUAUUGAUUUUCCUUUCUUUACAUUUUGUAAAUGUAGUGUUUCCUGAAAGAAAAAGAUAACAUAAUCUAUUAAAUGUUUCUUUCUACAGUAGCUAUGGAGUUCUAUCAUGAAAUGGGGAAACACUCAACUUCAGAUCACAUUUUUACAUAGCAUUUCAUGCUCCUCCAAACUUGUGUGUCCAUGUUUUUUUUACUUAACAGGAACAUGGAAAAUGUUUCCUAUUUAUCAAAUACAUUGUCAUAUUUUUAAAAGUCCUUUAUGGUUUGUUCUUUUAUUUCAUUAUUUACCAACAACAUGUAGGUCAACAUUCCUCAAA
Molecule: long non-coding RNA, 1204 nt
Organism: Orbicella faveolata
Lineage: Eukaryota; Metazoa; Cnidaria; Anthozoa; Scleractinia; Merulinidae
Source: RefSeq, a predicted model, not a curated record